UCCGUGUUUUCUUUUUGUUUACUGCUUUUGACUCGUCUCUUUUCCGCUUUUGGUCCGUGUUUCACUGUUUCUUUUGUUUAAUUUUCUUUUUUCUCUCUUCUGAUUGUUGGCUGUGUUUUUCUUAUUUUUUCCUCUCGAUUCUUCUCGUUUCUUGUUUAUUUUCUGGGCUUGUUAGUCCUGCCGUGGAUGCUUUCACCCUUUGGUUUCUUGGCUGCCUAGGUGUAUCGAUAGUGGAAAGACCUAAAAAUGAGUUGAUUACAACAACGGAGGAGAUAAACAAGUUAUUGGCGAGACUGCACUGCCAAGAGCUAUAAGGAUUUUUUGCUGGAACUGUCGUGGGAUUGGUAACCCUGCGACAGUUCGUG
Molecule: long non-coding RNA, 365 nt
Filed under: Gossypium raimondii (Peruvian cotton)
Lineage: Eukaryota; Viridiplantae; Streptophyta; Magnoliopsida; Malvales; Malvaceae
Description: long non-coding RNA (GRAI_LNC005604)
Source: RNAcentral